RNAcentral lists this ribosomal RNA (377 nucleotides) under Acinetobacter pittii. RNAcentral describes it as "bacterial LSU rRNA". It matches the Rfam family "Bacterial large subunit ribosomal RNA", at positions 2571 to 2925 of the family's 2925-position model. Lineage: Bacteria; Pseudomonadati; Pseudomonadota; Gammaproteobacteria; Moraxellales; Moraxellaceae. The record is from RNAcentral.
GUAUGGCUGUUCGCCAUUUAAAGAGGUACGCGAGCUGGGUUUAGAACGUCGUGAGACAGUUCGGUCCCUAUCUACCGUGGGCGCUGGAAAUUUGAGAGGAUCUGCUCCUAGUACGAGAGGACCAGAGUGGACGAACCUCUGGUGUACCGGUUGUGACGCCAGUCGCAUCGCCGGGUAGCUAUGUUCGGAAGGGAUAACCGCUGAAAGCAUCUAAGCGGGAAGCCUACCUCAAGAUAAGAUUUCCCUAGGAAUUUAUUCCUCUAAAGAGCCGUUCGAGACUAGGACGUUGAUAGGUUGGAUGUGGAAGCAUAGUGAUAUGUGAAGCUGACCAAUACUAAUUGCUCGUGAGGCUUGACUAUACAACACCCAAGCAGUUG